UCGCAAUAGACGGGGAAGUAGCGGCGCCUUGUAACCUGCAAUCCGCUAUAGCAGGGUCGAAUUCCUAACGAAGGUCUAAUGAUGUGUGGUCAGUGCUUUUAAUUUGAUGUUGAGGAAAAAAACUUUUGCAAAGAAAAACCUACGAACGGGUCAGAUCCGGAAGGAAGCAGCCAUAAGGAGGACACUUUUCUUGUGUAAAAAGUCCAUUUUUCUGAGUUAAAGAAAAAGUAACGCAUGGAUGAUUAGCUCGUACUUAGGUUUGCGA
Non-coding RNA from Anaerobacillus sp., 265 nucleotides. NCBI's taxonomy places the organism in Bacteria, Bacillati, Bacillota, Bacilli, Caryophanales, Bacillaceae. The record is from Rfam.